RNAcentral lists this ribosomal RNA (253 nucleotides) under uncultured bacterium. RNAcentral's name for it is "partial 16S ribosomal RNA". It matches the Rfam family "Bacterial small subunit ribosomal RNA", at positions 524 to 776 of the family's 1533-position model. The record is from RNAcentral.
UACAGAGGUCUCAAGCGUUGUUCGGAUUCAUUGGGCGUAAAGCGUCUGUAGGUGGCUUUUUAAGUCUGCCGUCAAAUCCCAGGGCUUAACCCUGGACAGGCGGUGGAAACUACCAAGCUGGAGUACGGUAGGGGCAGAGGGAAUUUCCGGUGGAGCGGUGAAAUGCGUAGAGAUCGGAAAGAACACCAACGGCGAAGGCAGCGUCCUGGCGAGUCACUGACGCUCAGGUGCGAAAGCUAGGGGAGCGAACGGG